Molecule: ribosomal RNA, 492 nt
Filed under: uncultured bacterium
Lineage: Bacteria
Description: partial 16S ribosomal RNA
Rfam family: Bacterial small subunit ribosomal RNA
Source: RNAcentral
AGUGAACGCUGGCGGUAGGCCUAACACAUGCAAGUCGAACGGCAGCACAGUAAGAGCUUGCUCUUACGGGUGGCGAGUGGCGGACGGGUAAGGAAUACAUCGGAAUCUACUUUUUCGUGGGGGAUAACGUAGGGAAACUUACGCUAAUACCGCAUACGACCUACGGGUGAAAGCAGGGGAUCUUCGGACCUUGCGCGAUUGAAUGAGCCGAUGUCGGAUUAGCUAGUUGGCGGGGUAAAGGCCCACCAAGGCGACGAUCCGUAGCUGGUCUGAGAGGAUGAUCAGCCAUACUGGAACUGAGACACGGUCCAGACUCCUACGGGAGGCAGCAGUGGGGAAUAUUGGACAAAGGGCGCAAGCCUGAUCCAGCCAUACCGCGUGGGUGAAGAAGGCCUUCGGGUUGUAAAGCCCUUUUGUUGGGAAAGAAAAGCAGCAGGUUAAUACCCCGCUGUUCUGACGGUACCCAAAGAAUAAGCACCGGCUAACUUCGUG